Papaver somniferum (opium poppy) is the source of this 123-nucleotide small nucleolar RNA. RefSeq annotates it as small nucleolar RNA SNORD14. Lineage: Eukaryota; Viridiplantae; Streptophyta; Magnoliopsida; Ranunculales; Papaveraceae. The record is from RefSeq and is a predicted model, not a curated record. The transcript has a single exon.
UGUUUAUGAUGAUAAAUCUAAGGCUUGUUUCUCAAGAAAAUUCGCAGUUGCCGACUACUAAGAGCUUUCGCCUUUCGCCUGAGAGUUAAUGCUGCUUUUUUCCUUCCUUGGAUGUCUGAGACA